This 460-nucleotide ribosomal RNA is filed under the name uncultured bacterium. RNAcentral's name for it is "partial 16S ribosomal RNA". It matches the Rfam family "Bacterial small subunit ribosomal RNA", at positions 338 to 795 of the family's 1533-position model. The record is from RNAcentral.
CCUACGGGAGGCAGCAGUGAGGAAUAUUGGUCAAUGGGGGCAAGCCUGAAGCAGCCAAGCCGCGUGAAGGAAGACUGCUCUCCGGGUUGUAAACUUCUUUUAUAGAGGAGUAAAGUGAGGCACGUGUGCCUUUAUGUAUGUACUUUAUGAAUAAGGAUCGGCUAACUCCGUGCCAGCAGCCGCGGUAAUACGGAGGGUCCGAGCGUUAUCCGGAUUUAUUGGGUGUAAAGGGAGCGUAGGUGGAUUGUUAAGUCAGUUGUGAAAGUUUGCGGCUCAACCGUAAAAUUGCAGUUGAAACUGGCAGUCUGGAGUACUGGAGAGGCAAGCGGAAUUCGUGGUGUAGCGGUGAAAUGCGUAGAUAUUACGAAGAACUCCGGUGGCGAAGGCAGUUCACUGGACAGCAACUGACACUGAGGCUCGAAAGUGUGGGUAGCAAACAGGAUUAGAUACCUGGGUAGUC